UGUUUCGGCUAGGGGGUCAUCCCGACUUACCAACCCGAUGCAAACUACGAAUACCGAAGAAUGUUAUCACGGGAGACACACGGCGGGUGCUAACGUCCGUCGUGAAGAGGGAAACAACCCAGACCGCCAGCUAAGGUCCCAAAGUCAUGGUUAAGUGGGAAACGAUGUGGGAAGGCACAGACAGCCAGGAUGUUGGCUUAGAAGCAGCCAUCAUUUAAAGAAAGCGUAAUAGCUCACUGGUCGAGUCGGCCUGCGCGGAAGAUGUAACGGGGCUAAACCAUGCACCGAAGCUGCGGCAGCGACACUAUGUGUUGUUGGGUAGGGGAGCGUUCUGUAAGCCUGCGAAGGUGACCUGUGAGGGUUGCUGGAGGUAUCAGAAGUGCGAAUGCUGACAUAAGUAACGAUAAAGCGGGUGAAAAGCCCGCUCGCCGGAAGACCAAGGGUUCCUGUCCAACGUUAAUCGGGGCAGGGUGAGUCGACCCCUAAGGCGAGGCCGAAAGGCGUAGUCGAUGGGAAACAGGUUAAUAUUCCUGUACUUGGUGUUACUGCGAAGGGGGGACGGAGAAGGCUAUGUUAGCCGGGCGACGGUUGUCCCG
This 596-nucleotide ribosomal RNA is filed under the name Klebsiella pneumoniae. RNAcentral's name for it is "partial 23S ribosomal RNA". It matches the Rfam family "Bacterial large subunit ribosomal RNA", at positions 911 to 1509 of the family's 2925-position model. RNAcentral also lists the same sequence under 3 other names. Lineage: Bacteria; Pseudomonadati; Pseudomonadota; Gammaproteobacteria; Enterobacterales; Enterobacteriaceae. The record is from RNAcentral.